Molecule: ribosomal RNA, 471 nt
Filed under: Aphyosemion ottogartneri
Lineage: Eukaryota; Metazoa; Chordata; Actinopteri; Cyprinodontiformes; Nothobranchiidae
Description: partial 16S ribosomal RNA
Rfam family: Bacterial large subunit ribosomal RNA
Source: RNAcentral
AACGGCCGCGGUAUUUUGACCGUGCAAAGGUAGCGCAAUCACUUGUCUUUUAAAUAAAGACCUGUAUGAAUGGCAUAACGAGGGCUUAACUGUCUCCUUUUCCCUAUCAAUGAAAUUGAUCUCCCCGUGCAGAAGCGGGGAUUUACACAUAAGACGAAAAGACCCUAUGGAGCUUAAGCCGCAAGAACAUAACAUGUUACUUCUUUCACUUAAAAUAUGAAACCUUAGUGAACCCUGUUCAAGUGUCUUUGGUUGGGGCGACCACGGAGUAUAAUAUACCCUCCAUGAGGAAUAAAGGUAUUCCUUUCUAUCUAAGGAUAACUAUCCUAAGGAUUAGAAUUUCUAACCGUAAUGAUCCGGCAAAGCCGAUCAACGAACCGAGUUACCCUAGGGAUAACAGCGCAAUCCUCUUUUAGAGCCCAUAUCGACAAGAAGGUUUACCACCUCGAUGUUGGAUCAGGACAUCCCAAU